GACGAACGCUGGCGGCGUGCUUAACACAUGCAAGUCGAACGGAAAGGCUCCUGCUUGCAGGGGUACUCGAGUGGCGAACGGGUGAGUAACACGUGGGUGAUCUGCCUUGUACUCUGGGAUAAGCUUGGGAAACUGGGUCUAAUACCGGAUAGUAGCCGCCUUUAGUGUGGUGGUUGGAAAGUUUUUUCGGUGCAAGAUGAGCUCGCGGCCUAUCAGCUUGUUGGUGGGGUAAUGGCCUACCAAGGCGUCGACGGGUAGCCGGCCUGAGAGGGUGUACGGCCACAUUGGGACUGAGAUACGGCCCAGACUCCUACGGGAGGCAGCAGUGGGGAAUAUUGCACAAUGGGCGGAAGCCUGAUGCAGCGACGCCGCGUGGGGGAUGACGGCCUUCGGGUUGUAAACUCCUUUCGACAGGGACGAAGCUUUUUGUGACGGUACCUGUAUAAGAAGCACCGGCUAACUACGUGCCAGCAGCCGCGGUAAUACGUAGGGUGCGAGCGUUGUCCGGAAUUACUGGGCGUAAAGAGCUCGUAGGUGGUUUGUCGCGUCGUCUGUGAAAUUCCGGGGCUUAACUCCGGGCGUGCAGGCGAUACGGGCAUAACUUGAGUGCUGUAGGGGAGACUGGAAUUCCUGGUGUAGCGGUGAAAUGCGCAGAUAUCAGGAGGAACACCGAUGGCGAAGGCAGGUCUCUGGGCAGUAACUGACGCUGAGGAGCGAAAGCAUGGGUAGCGAACAGGAUUAGAUACCCUGGUAGUCCAUGCCGUAAACGGUGGGCGCUAGGUGUAGGGGGCUUCCACGUCUUCUGUGCCGUAGCUAACGCAUUAAGCGCCCCGCCUGGGGAGUACGGCCGCAAGGCUAAAACUCAAAGGAAUUGACGGGGGCCCGCACAAGCGGCGGAGCAUGUGGAUUAAUUCGAUGCAACGCGAAGAACCUUACCUGGGCUUGACAUACACCAGAUCGCUGCAGAGAUGUAGUUUCCCUUGUGGUUGGUGUACAGGUGGUGCAUGGUUGUCGUCAGCUCGUGUCGUGAGAUGUUGGGUUAAGUCCCGCAACGAGCGCAACCCUUGUCUUAUGUUGCCAGCAUUUUAGUUGGGGACUCAUGAGAGACUGCCGGGGUUAACUCGGAGGAAGGUGGGGAUGACGUCAAAUCAUCAUGCCCCUUAUGUCCAGGGCUUCACACAUGCUACAAUGGUCGGUACAACGCGCGGCGACACUGUGAGGUGGAGCGAAUCGCUGAAAGCCGGCCUUAGUUCGGAUUGGGGUCUGCAACUCGACCCCAUGAAGUCGGAGUCGCUAGUAAUCGCAGAUCAGCAAUGCUGCGGUGAAUACGUUCCCGGCCCA
This 1341-nucleotide ribosomal RNA is filed under the name uncultured bacterium. RNAcentral describes it as "bacterial SSU rRNA". It matches the Rfam family "Bacterial small subunit ribosomal RNA", at positions 28 to 1381 of the family's 1533-position model. The record is from RNAcentral.